Molecule: unclassified non-coding RNA, 161 nt
Filed under: soil metagenome
Description: partial internal transcribed spacer 1
Source: RNAcentral
AAGAGACGUUGCCCUUCGGGGUAUACCUCCCACCCUUUGUUUAUUAUACCUUUGUUGCUUUGGCGGGCCCGUCCUCGGACCACCGGCUUCUGCUGGUCAGUGCCCGCCAGAGGACCUAAAACUCUGUUUGUUAAUAUUGUCUGAGUACUAUAUAAUGGUUA